Molecule: long non-coding RNA, 352 nt
Organism: Gasterosteus aculeatus aculeatus (three-spined stickleback)
Lineage: Eukaryota; Metazoa; Chordata; Actinopteri; Perciformes; Gasterosteidae
Source: Ensembl
GUAACUGACAGGUGGCUGACAUGUGACUAACAGGUGGACUCACCUGCUCAUUUCUAAAUAUUAAAGGACUCAUUUGACACGAAUGAUUUUGGUCGUUAUUGUUACAUUUAAGUUAUUUAUAGACAUUGGUUGAUUGACAUACAUCAGGAGAGGAGGAGAAGAGUUAAACCGUCCCACGUGAUACGACUCGACCAAUCGAGGCUUUGCAUCCCAGGCAGGACGAUGACAUCGUCUCAAUACUGCAGACAGAUGAGAGAGGUACCGUCUGUCCAAUCAGAAGGGUCCGCGUGCUAUAAGGCCCUCCCCUUUCCGUAAGAAGUUAAUGUCGCUGUGAUUUGAACUUCAGGGCCAC